This 275-nucleotide ribosomal RNA is filed under the name uncultured bacterium. RNAcentral's name for it is "partial 16S ribosomal RNA". It matches the Rfam family "Bacterial small subunit ribosomal RNA", at positions 338 to 605 of the family's 1533-position model. The record is from RNAcentral.
CCUACGGGAGGCUGCAGUAGGGAAUUUUGGACAAUGGGCGAAAGCCUGAUCCAGCAAUGCCGCGUGAGUGAUGAAGGCCUUCGGGUUGUAAAGCUCUUUUGGUAGGAACGAAACGGUCUGGGUUAAUACCCCGGACUAAUGACGGUACCUGCAGAAUAAGCACCGGCUAACUACGUGCCAGCAGCCGCGGUAAUACGUAGGGUGCAAGCGUUAAUCGGAAUUACUGGGCGUAAAGCGUGCGCAGGCGGUUUUGUAAGACCGAUGUGAAAUCCCCG